CCCCACUGCUAUCGGGAUGGGACUAAGACAUGCUAGUCGUGCGUCUCCAAGCCAUGGCGGAGACGCGGCGCACAGCUCAGUAACACGUGGCUAACCUGCCCUUAGGACAGGGACAACCCCGGGAAACUGGGGCUAAUCCCUGAUAGGUGAGGGUUCCUGGAAUGGGCCCUCGUCGAAAGGGCGCCUAGACCAUGCUUCUAGGCGCUGCCCAAGGAUGGAGCCGCGGCCGAUCAGGUUGUUGGUGAGGCAACGGCUCACCAAGCCUUUAACCGGUACGGGCCGUGAGAGCGGGAGCCCGGAGAUGGGUACUGAGACAAGGACCCAGGCCCUACGGGGCGCAGCAGUCGCGAAAACUCCGCAAUACGCGAAAGCGUGACGGGGCUAUCCCGAGUGCCGUCCGCUGAGGAUGGCUUUUCCCUAGUGUAUAAAGCUGGGGGAAUAAGGAGAGGGCAAGCCUGGUGUCAGCCGCCGCGGUAAUACCAGCUCUCCGAGUGGUGGGGAUGCUUAUUGGGCCUAAAGCAUUCGUAGCCGGUUGGGCAAGUCCUCCGUUAAAUCCAGCGAUUCAAUCGUUGGACUGCGGGGGAUACUGCCCGGCUUGGGGGCGGAAGAGGCCGACGGUAUUCUCGGGGUAGGGGUGAAAUCCUAUAAUCCCGGGAGGACCACCAGUGGCGAAGGCUGUCGGCUAGAACGCGCCCGACGGUGAGGGAUGAAAGCUGGGGGAGCGAACCGGAUUAGAUACCCGGGUAGUCCCAGCUGUAAACGAUGCAGGCUAGGUGUUGGCGCGGCUACGUGCCGCUCCAGUGCCGCAAGGAAGCCGUUAAGCCUGCCGCCUGGGAAGUACGGCCGCAAGGCUGAAACUUAAAGGAAUUGGCGGGGGAGCACCACAAGGGGUGAAGCUUGCGGUUU
Molecule: ribosomal RNA, 906 nt
Filed under: uncultured archaeon
Lineage: Archaea
Description: bacterial SSU rRNA
Rfam family: Archaeal small subunit ribosomal RNA
Source: RNAcentral